AGUGAACGCUGGCGGUAGGCCUAACACAUGCAAGUCGAACGGCAGCACAGUAAGAGCUUGCUCUUACGGGUGGCGAGUGGCGGACGGGUGAGGAAUACAUCGGAAUCUACUUUUUCGUGGGGGAUAACGUAGGGAAACUUACGCUAAUACCGCAUACGACCUACGGGUGAAAGCAGGGGAUCUUCGGACCUUUCGCGAUUGAAUGAGCCGAUGUCGGAUUAGCGAGUUGGCGGGGGAAUGGCCCACCCAGGCGACGAUCCGUAGCUGGUCUGAGAGGAUGAUCAGCCACACUGGAACUGAGACACGGUCCAGACUCCUACGGGAGGCAGCAGUGGGGAAUAUUGGACAAUGGGCGCAAGCCUGAUCCAGCCAUACCGCGUGGGUGAAGAAGGCCUUCGGGUUGUAAAGCCCUUUUGUUGGGAAAGAAAAGCAGCAGGUUAAUACCCCGCUGUUCUGACGGUACCCAAAGAAUAAGCACCGGCUAACUUCGUG
Molecule: ribosomal RNA, 492 nt
Filed under: uncultured bacterium
Lineage: Bacteria
Description: partial 16S ribosomal RNA
Rfam family: Bacterial small subunit ribosomal RNA
Source: RNAcentral